Molecule: long non-coding RNA, 1931 nt
Organism: Lates calcarifer (barramundi perch)
Lineage: Eukaryota; Metazoa; Chordata; Actinopteri; Centropomidae
Exons: 3
Source: RefSeq, a predicted model, not a curated record
UAUAUAAAAACGGACUGAGUUGAGAUUUUCAUUUUUCUUUCAGCUUCAGAGUCCAGCCUGGUCCUGAUAAUCUGGCUCCAGUCUUCACAUCUGCUCCAUGAUUUCAGAGUCUCUUCAAAAUAAAGGUGCUGACGUCAGCGUGGAUCAGACCAGACCAGAAUGGGUUGAAAAGUUCCGCCUCCAACGAAGACCACAGCUUGUUAAGUCACCAGGUCUGACAGGUGAGGAUUCAUUCAGCUGUCAUAGUGAUCUGGAUCAGUCGUGAUCUGGAUCAGUCUUUAUAAUUUUGAUGACCACUUUCACUUCACUGAAUCCUGUCCUGUGAUUGGCUGUUGGAUGGUCCUCAGCAGAGAUAAACAGGACAACAUUAAACUGAAGUCCCACAGGAACAGAGGACAGUGAAGGCAGCACAGCAGCUCCUCAGUGUACCAGGAUUAUAAUUAAUAACCCACAGCAACAGAUUUUGAUUAAAAUGUCUUCAACACAAGACAAACAAGAUUAUCUGCAGUUUCUCUGCUGUUUUCCUGGAUGAGUUUUAGUUUUAGAUCAGAGGUUUUCAGUCAGUUAGGGUCAGGGGUCAGUUUGUGUCAGCUGCAGGAUGAACAGUAAUGAGGCCUUCAGGUUCCCUCUCUGAAUGCAGCUCUGAUAAUAAAUUGCCUCUUGUUGUUGAGCUCUGAUUGGAGUCCUGAUCCUGGUCUCUUUGGACUUUAAUUGUCUGAAUUAGUCCGUCCUCUCUGUGCCACAGCACAGGUCUGAUUAAAUCCUGGUCUCAGUGUGUUUCAGUAUGGUUUGGACUCUGAUGAGAUGUUGGUGAAUCGACAGGAAAAUAAAAAUACAUCAAAGCUGUCGUCGUCCUUCUGCCUCAGUCUCAGAGAGAGAAACCAGCAGAGAGCAGCAAAAUCUGAUUUAUAACAUUUCUCUGACUAAAAUAUUUCACAUCUGAGUCAUAACUGUGUUUUUCUGAGAGGAGAAGCAGUUUGUUCCUUCACAGAAAAACAGAAAAGUGUUUUCAUCAGCGAGUUGUCUGGAUCCUGAUCGGCCGGUUUUAUAUUUCAGCAACAACUGACGACAACUGACCGACAACCAACAACUGAUGACAACAAACAAUUGACGACAACUGACCAAGUGACGACAACUGAUUGACAACUGACUGACAACCGACAACUGAUUACAACCAACAACUGACGACAACCUACAACUGAUGACAACUGACUGACAGCUGACCAGUAAACCAGUCGUCCCUGUCAGUGGGUCCUCACGGAAAACUCUACAGACUGAUAGAGGUUUGUUGGGACGUGUGUGUGAGAGUUGUGUAAACAGUUGUGUGUCAGUGUGUGUGUUUUCCUGCCUGCAGCGACUGUUUGUUCUGUGACUGAGAAACAAGAAGAACCAGAACCUGACCUCAGAUCAGCUGGAGGAGGAUGAUGAUUAAUCCCUGAAGAGAUAUAAUGAUGUUCACUGUGCGGCAGCGACCAGCAGGAGGAGCUGUUAGACUCUAACAGGUCAAACUGAGCUGCUGUGAAGAGCGUUCACGUCUCAUCACUGAGCAUCUCUAUCAGCUGAAGUCAGGGUCUGGAGGUCUGAUCCACAUGAACCUGCUUCAGAUCCUGGAUUCCUCAGGACAUUAACAUCAGGUCCUGACGUGGAUCAGACUGAAACCUGAGGCGUUCAGAGGCUGAGUCCUCAGGGAGUACAGCUGGACCUGGUCUGAAACCCUGGUCCUAGCGUCUCUCUGCCUCCACCUGCUCGUCUUCCUCCCAUGAUGCAUCCUGCCUCUCCUCCCCAGCCUCUCGGUCACGCGCGCUCUGGCACGCGGCGGUCCUCCUGUUCACGGUGCCGUCCAGUCCCGCCGCAUGUCGAUCCGAGCCGGGACGGGUCAGUGAGACGGAUCCAGCAGAGGAAGGGACGAGAUGAUCUGAGCCGAGCCGAGC